RNAcentral lists this ribosomal RNA (401 nucleotides) under uncultured bacterium. RNAcentral describes it as "partial 16S ribosomal RNA". It matches the Rfam family "Bacterial small subunit ribosomal RNA", at positions 338 to 731 of the family's 1533-position model. The record is from RNAcentral.
CCUACGGGUGGCAGCAGUAGGGAAUCUUCCACAAUGGGCGCAAGCCUGAUGGAGCAACACCGCGUGAGUGAAGAAGGGUUUCGGCUCGUAAAGCUCUGUUGUUGGAGAAGAACGUGCGUGAGAGUAACUGUUCACGCAGUGACGGUAUCCAACCAGAAAGUCACGGCUAACUACGUGCCAGCAGCCGCGGUAAUACGUAGGUGGCAAGCAUUAUCCGGAUUGAUUGGGCGUAAAGCGAGCGCAGGCGGUUGCUUAGGUCUGAUGUGAAAGCCAUCGGCUUAACCGAAGAAGUGCAUGGGAAAUCGGGCGACAUGAGUGCAGAAGAGGACAGUGGAACUCAAUGUGUAGCGGUGGAUGGCGUAGAUAUAUGGAAGAACACCAGUGGCGAGGGGGGCUGUCGG